This is a long non-coding RNA of Peromyscus leucopus (white-footed mouse), 780 nucleotides long. RefSeq lists it as uncharacterized. The record is from RefSeq and is a predicted model, not a curated record. The transcript is spliced from 2 exons. Lineage: Eukaryota; Metazoa; Chordata; Mammalia; Rodentia; Cricetidae.
UGGCGCACGUCAUGUGGGAGUAGAUCUCCUUCACGUCACGUCGCAUGUUAAGCUCGAGGAACUGCACCUUGAUGUAGUUGCCGGCAUCCUCAAAACGUCCUUCUUGUUGAGGAAGAGCACGAUGGAUGUAGUGGCGAAGUAGCGGUGGUUGCAGAUGCUGUUGAACAGGUGCAGGCUCUCGUGCAUUCGGUUCUGGGGAAGGCAGAGGCUGUGGGGCACCAGGCCGGCAGCGGCCCCUUCGCCUCUGGGCUCCCGGGACUGAGGCGCCUCCCACCGCUCCCAGACAGCCUCGGCUUCUGUGAGUCUCGGUGGCUCCCCCGGCUCCACCUCCCUUCUCAAACCCUUAGGCCCAACUUGGCACUCACCACUUCGUCGUCCUCCACCAGCACCAUGUCGUAAGCGCUCAGUGCGGCGAUGAAAAUGAUGCAGGUCACACCCUCGAAGCAAUGGAUCCACUUUUUGCGCUCGGAACGCUGCCCGCCCACAUCGAACAUUCUGUAGGUCAGAGCCGUGUCCCGGAUUUAGACCCGUGUAUCAGGUCACCUGGAUAUGCCCACUGGCACCCCUUGUCUUCUUAAGCUGGCUGGGGCGCCCUCAUAUGGAUUGGCAUCUGAGGUGACCAGCCUUUCUCCUGGCAAGGGUAGGACCUUAACUCAGGACAGUGAAGUUCCCGUCAGGCCAGCUGAACAAGCGUGCAGGGGUCUUACCUGAAGUUGAGGUCCUUGAAGGAGAACUGCGUCUCGAUGAUGCCGGUGGUUUUGACACGAGAGCGCAACACGU